AUUGAACGCUGGCGGCAUGCCUUACACAUGCAAGUCGAACGGCAGCACGGGUGCUUGCACCUGGUGGCGAGUGGCGAACGGAUGAGUAAUACAUCGGAACAUGUCCUGUAGUGGGGGAUAGCCCGGCGAAAGCCGGAUUAAUACCGCAUACGAUCUACGGAUGAAAGCGGGGGACCUUCGGGCCUCGCGCUAUAGGGUUGGCCGAUGGCUGAUUAGCUAGUUGGUGGGGUAAAGGCCUACCAAGGCGACGAUCAGUAGCUGGUCUGAGAGGACGACCAGCCACACUGGGACUGAGACACGGCCCAGACUCCUACGAGAGGCAGCAGUGGGGAAUUUUGGACAAUGGGCGAAAGCCUGAUCCAGCAAUGCCGCGUGUGUGAAGAAGGCCUUCGGGUUGUAAAGCACUUUUGUCCGGAAAGAAAUCCUUGGCCCUAAUACGGUCGGGGGAUGACGGUACCGGAAGAAUAAGCACCGGCUAACUACGUG
This 486-nucleotide ribosomal RNA is filed under the name uncultured bacterium. RNAcentral's name for it is "partial 16S ribosomal RNA". It matches the Rfam family "Bacterial small subunit ribosomal RNA", at positions 30 to 507 of the family's 1533-position model. The record is from RNAcentral.